RNAcentral lists this ribosomal RNA (678 nucleotides) under uncultured bacterium. RNAcentral describes it as "bacterial SSU rRNA". It matches the Rfam family "Bacterial small subunit ribosomal RNA", at positions 8 to 683 of the family's 1533-position model. The record is from RNAcentral.
AGAGUUUGAUUAUGGCUCAGGAUGAACGCUGGCGGCGUGCCUAAUACAUGCAAGUCGAACGCUUCACAUCGGUGAAGAGUGGCGAACGGGUGAGUAAUACAUAAGUAACCUGGCAUCUACAGGGGGAUAACUGAUGGAAACGUCAGCUAAGACCGCAUAGGUGUAGAGAUCGCAUGAACUCUAUAUGAAAAGUGCUACGGGACUGGUAGAUGAUGGACUUAUGGCGCAUUAGCUUGUUGGUAGGGUAACGGCCUACCAAGGCGACGAUGCGUAGCCGACCUGAGAGGGUGACCGGCCACACUGGGACUGAGACACGGCCCAGACUCCUACGGGAGGCAGCAGUAGGGAAUUUUCGGCAAUGGGGGAAACCCUGACCGAGCAACGCCGCGUGAAGGAAGAAGUAAUUCGUUAUGUAAACUUCUGUCAUAGAGGAAGAACGGUGGAUAUAGGGAAUGAUAUCCAAGUGACGGUACUCUAUAAGAAAGCCACGGCUAACUACGUGCCAGCAGCCGCGGUAAUACGUAGGUGGCGAGCGUUAUCCGGAAUUAUUGGGCGUAAAGAGGGAGCAGGCGGCACUAAGGGUCUGUGGUGAAAGAUCGAAGCUUAACUUCGGUAAGCCAUGGAAACCGUAGAGUUAGAGUGUGUGAGAGGAUCGUGGAAUUCCCAUGUGUAGCGGUG